GCAGUUGUGGCCGAGUGGUUAAGGCGAUGGAUUCGAAAUCCAUUAGGUUUUUUCUGCGCCGGUUCGAAUUCUGUCAACUGCG
This 82-nucleotide transfer RNA is filed under the name Strigamia maritima. It matches the Rfam family "tRNA". From Rfam's summary of the family: Transfer RNA (tRNA) molecules are approximately 80 nucleotides in length. Their secondary structure includes four short double-helical elements and three loops (D, anti-codon, and T loops). The record is from Rfam by way of RNAcentral. Lineage: Eukaryota; Metazoa; Arthropoda; Chilopoda; Geophilomorpha; Linotaeniidae.